Long non-coding RNA from Oreochromis niloticus (Nile tilapia), 196 nucleotides. RefSeq lists it as uncharacterized. The transcript is spliced from 3 exons. The record is from RefSeq and is a predicted model, not a curated record. NCBI's taxonomy places the organism in Eukaryota, Metazoa, Chordata, Actinopteri, Cichliformes, Cichlidae.
AGAGAUAAGAGUGCUCCCGGUAACCUUGUUAAAUUGAAGAAUGUAAUACCUUCCUUCAUCAAGAUAGCUUGACCGGCUCAUGCUGAAGGUGACUUUCUGUUUUGAUCCCUGCAGCAUAUCACAUCAUGAGCUGUUGCUAUAUUAACCUAAACAGGCGUACAUAAACCUUUGUGGACCCUGUGUGGAGCAGUGCUGC